Molecule: ribosomal RNA, 768 nt
Filed under: uncultured Bacteroidota bacterium
Lineage: Bacteria; Pseudomonadati; Bacteroidota
Description: bacterial SSU rRNA
Rfam family: Bacterial small subunit ribosomal RNA
Source: RNAcentral
GGCCUAACACAUGCAAGUCGAACGGUAAGUUAAGAGCUUGCUCUUAACACGAGUGGCGAACGGGUGCGUAACGCGUAUGCAAUCUACCCUUUUCUGGAAGAUAGCCCUUAGAAAUGAGGAUUAAUACUCCAUAGUAUAACAAUUUCGCAUGUUAUUGUUAUUAAAGCUUCGGCGGAAAAGGAUGAGCAUGCGUCCCAUUAGUUAGUUGGUAGGGUAACGGCCUACCAAGACUCCGAUGGGUAGGGGGCCUGAGAGGGUUAUCCCCCACACUGGUACUGAGACACGGACCAGACUCCUACGGGAGGCAGCAGUGAGGAAUAUUGGUCAAUGGAGGCAACUCUGAACCAGCCAUGCCGCGUGCAGGAUGACUGCCCUAUGGGUUGUAAACUGCUUUUAUGUAGGAAGAAACCUCAGUACGUGUACUGAGCUGACGGUACUACACGAAUAAGGACCGGCUAACUCCGUGCCAGCAGCCGCGGUAAUACGGAGGGUCCAAGCGUUAUCCGGAUUUAUUGGGUUUAAAGGGUACGUAGGCGGAAGAUUAAGUCAGUAGUGAAAGCCCAUCGCUCAACGAUGGAACUGCUAUUGAUACUGGUUUUCUUGAAUAUACUUGAAGUAGGCGGAAUACGACAUGUAGCGGUGAAAUGCAUAGAUAUGUCGUAGAACACCGAUUGCGAAGGCAGCUUACUAAGGUAUUAUUGACGCUAAUGUACGAAAGCGUGGGGAGCGAACAGGAUUAGAUACCCUGGUAGUCCACGCCGUAAACGA